GCUUGGUCCGAUUGCAGUGGUACUUUUAAUUAAUUGAUCAGUCAGUUACAGGUUUCUUUGUCCGUUCUCCACUCCCACUGCUUCACUUGAGCAGUCUUUU
This 100-nucleotide Y RNA is filed under the name Podarcis lilfordi (Lilford's wall lizard). It matches the Rfam family "Y RNA". Rfam says of the family: Y RNAs are components of the Ro ribonucleoprotein particle (Ro RNP), in association with Ro60 and La proteins. The Y RNAs and Ro60 and La proteins are well conserved, but the function of the Ro RNP is not known. In humans the RNA component can be one of four small RNAs -- hY1, hY3, hY4 and hY5. The record is from Rfam by way of RNAcentral. Lineage: Eukaryota; Metazoa; Chordata; Lepidosauria; Squamata; Lacertidae.